RNAcentral lists this ribosomal RNA (679 nucleotides) under uncultured soil bacterium. RNAcentral's name for it is "bacterial SSU rRNA". It matches the Rfam family "Bacterial small subunit ribosomal RNA", at positions 29 to 685 of the family's 1533-position model. The record is from RNAcentral.
AUCAACGCUGGCGGCGUGCCUCAGACAUGCAAGUCGAACGCGAAAGCUUCCUUCGGGGAGCAAGUAGAGUGGCGCACGGGUGAGUAACACGUAGGUAAUCUACCUUCGGAUGGGGAAUAACAUCGAGAAAUCGGUGCUAAUACCGCAUAAUGCAGCGGCACCUAAUGGUGACAGUUGUUAAAGCGGGGGAUCGUAAGACCUCGCGUCUGAAGAGGAGCCUGCGGCGGAUUAGCUAGUUGGUAAGGUAACGGCUUACCAAGGCUAUGAUCCGUAACCGGCCUGAGAGGGCGGUCGGUCACACUGACACUGACAUACGGGUCAGACUCCUACGGGAGGCAGCAGUCGGGAAUUUUGGGCAAUGGGCGAAAGCCUGACCCAGCAACGCCGCGUGAAGGAUGAAAUCCCCCGGGAUGUAAACUUCGCAAGAACGGGAAGAAUAAGUCUGCGUGAAUAUCGCAGGCGAUGACGGUACCGUUUGUAAGCUCCGGCUAACUCCGUGCCAGCAGCCGCGGUAAUACGGGGGGAGCAAGCGUUGUUCGGAUUUACUGGGCGUAAAGGGCGGGUAGGCGGCCACUGCAAGUCGAUUGUGAAAUCUCCGGGCUUAACCCGGAAAGGUCAACCGAUACUGCAGGGCUAGAGUGCAGAAAGGGGCAACUGGAAUUCUCGGUGUAGCGGUGAA